AAGGAUUUAAGUUAAAAAAACUAUCAACCUUCAAAGUUGAAAAUAGACAAUAUCUAAGCCUUA
Molecule: transfer RNA, 63 nt
Filed under: Leptura arcuata
Lineage: Eukaryota; Metazoa; Arthropoda; Insecta; Coleoptera; Cerambycidae
Description: tRNA-Trp
Source: RNAcentral